Molecule: RNA transcript, 3095 nt
Organism: Bubalus bubalis (water buffalo)
Lineage: Eukaryota; Metazoa; Chordata; Mammalia; Artiodactyla; Bovidae
Gene: ATG7
Gene name: autophagy related 7
Exons: 20
Source: RefSeq, a predicted model, not a curated record
CAGGCGAUAACGAAUGGCAGCAGUUAUGGGGGACUCCGGCCUCUCCAGAUUGCAGUUCGCCCCCUUCAGCAGUGCCUUGGAUGUUGGCUUCUGGCACGAGUUGACCCAGAAGAAGCUGAAUGAGUACCGGCUAGACGAAGCUCCCAAGGACAUUAAGGGUUAUUACUACAACGGUGACUCUGCGGGGCUGCCAGCUCGCUUAACGUUGGAGUUCAGUGCUUUCGACAUGAGUGCGCCUACCCCAGCCCGCUGCUGCCCAGCGGUCGGCACACUGUAUAAUACCAACACACUCGAGGCUUUCAAGGCUGCAGACAAGAAGCUACUUCUGGAAGAAGCAGCAAACGAGAUCUGGGAAUCCAUCAAAUCGGGGGCUGCCCUGGACAACCCUGUGCUCCUCAACAAGUUCCUCCUCUUGACAUUUGCGGAUCUAAAGAAGUACCAUUUCUACUACUGGUUCUGCUCCCCAGCUCUCUGCCUUCCAGAGAGCAUACCCCUCAUUCAGGGGCCAGUGGCCUUGGAUCAAUGGUUUUUGCCAAAACAGAUUCAAGCCCUCGAGCAUGCGUAUGAUGACCUUUGUCAGACAGAAGGAGUCCCAGCACUGCCUUACUUCCUAAUCAAGUAUGACGAGACCACGGUGCUGGUUUCCUCGCUCAAACACUACAGCGAUUUCUUCCAGGGUCAAAGGACAAAGAUAACUAUUGGCGUGUACGAUCCCUGUAACUUAGCGCAGUACCCCGGAUGGCCUUUGAGGAACCUUUUGGUCCUAGCAGCCCACAGAUGGAGUGGCAGUUUCCAGUCCGUGGAAGUGGUCUGCUUCCGGGACCGCACCCUGCAGGGGGUGAGAGAUGUCACCCACAGCAUCGUCUUCGAAGUGAAGCUUCCAGAGAUGGCGUUCAGCCCAGAUUGUCCCAAGGCAGUCGGAUGGGAAAAGAACCAGAAGGGAGGCAUGGGACCGAGGAUGGUGAACCUCAGCGAGUGUAUGGACCCUAAAAGGUUAGCUGAGUCAUCGGUCGAUCUCAAUCUCAAGCUGAUGUGUUGGAGAUUGGUCCCUACUCUGGACUUAGACAAGGUUGUGUCUGCCAAAUGUCUGCUGCUUGGAGCCGGCACCUUGGGUUGUAAUGUAGCCCGGACAUUGAUGGGUUGGGGCGUCAGACACAUCACGUUCGUAGACAAUGCCAAGAUCUCCUACUCCAACCCUGUGAGGCAGCCUUUGUAUGAAUUUGAAGAUUGCCUGGCGGGUGGGAAGCCCAAGGCCCUGGCAGCAGCGGACCGGCUGCAGAAGAUAUUCCCCGGAGUGAACGCCAGAGGGUUCAACAUGAGCAUCCCCAUGCCUGGGCACCCCGUGAACUUCUCCAGCGUCACCCUGGAGCAGGCCCGCAGGGAUGUGGAACAGCUGGAGCAGCUCAUCAACAGCCACGACGUCGUCUUCCUGUUGAUGGACACCCGGGAGAGCCGGUGGCUGCCUGCCGUCAUCGCCGCCAGCAAAAGAAAGCUGGUCAUCAAUGCUGCCUUGGGAUUUGACACCUUCGUUGUCAUGAGACACGGCCUGAAGAGGCCCAGGCAUCAGGGAGCCGGGGACUUGUGUCCCAGCUACCCCAUGGCGUCUGCCGACCUCCUGGGCUCAUCGCUGUUUGCCAACAUCCCUGGCUACAAACUUGGCUGCUACUUCUGCAACGAUGUGGUGGCCCCAGGGGAUUCAACCAGAGACCGGACCUUGGACCAGCAGUGCACUGUGAGCCGUCCGGGACUAGCCACGAUCGCAGCGGCCCUGGCAGUGGAGUUGAUGGUUUCCGUUUUGCAGCAUCCAGAAGGGGGCUACGCCAUUGCCAGCAGCAGUGACGACCGCAUGAAUGAGCCACCAACGUCCCUCGGCCUCGUGCCUCACCAGAUACGAGGAUUUCUGUCACGGUUUGAUAACGUCCUUCCUGUCAGCCUGGCCUUUGACAAAUGCACGGCUUGUUCUUCCAAAGUUCUUGAUCAGUAUGAACGAGAAGGAUUUAAUUUCCUGGCGAAGGUGUUUAAUUCUUCACAUUCCUUCUUAGAGGACUUGACCGGUCUUACAUUGCUGCAUCAAGAGACCCAGGCUGCUGAGGGCCAGCGUCCCCAAGAUUUUUGGGCAACUGUCAUAUUCGUUGAGCAUACAGCGCCAUCAUUAGCAGGCUGUCUCUUCGGGUCUUGAUGAGUUACUCACCCAGGAACAGAAGAUAAAAUGGAGUCUAUCAUGAUUGAUCUGGGACAUGAGUGACGACGAGACCAUCUGACACGCGCCUUGCGCUCCGAGGCCGCCGCCCCAGGACUGCGACACGGCCCUGCGUCCCCACCGCUAGAGGCCUGGCCUGCCUCCAUGCCGGGAGCCGCUGGCGUCCUCCGUUCUGACAGCUCCUCAUCCCACCGGAAAAACAGGCCACAGAGAAUGGUAUAUUACAGAUUUACAAACAUGGAGAGAAUGGUCUGAACGCACUGCGGAUGGCCUGGCUCUGUGGAGAACCUCUCUGUGCCCUGAGGCCGGGGAGUGUCCCCCUGCCCGGGGCCCCUCCCAGCAGGGACCCGGCCCUUGGCGCUCCGGUUCCCCCUCCCCAGCGAUGUCCUCGCUGGCAGGCGCCCGCCGAGCCUGUUCUGCACAGAGCCGCAGGCAGUGGGUCGUUUUCCUGGGCAACGCUCAGUAGCCUGUAGCAAUAACAAACUAGUGGCUAUUAAGGCAGAUGCAGUGUUCUCAUAGAAUAACUGUGUUCCUGCACUUUUACAGACAAAUCUAAGACGAAAAAAAAAAAAAAGAUCAACUUUUUUUUCCAAACAAAAAAAAAAAUAUGAAUGAUUACAAUAGGAAAAGGGAAAAAUUAAAUAGCUACAUAUCAUUAACAAAUUAAUUGUUCUUCAAAAAAUACCUACAAAUUUCUCUGUACAUUCUUUACGCACAGCGUAAUGAUGGUCUUAAAGUUACCUAUAUAAAAAAAGUGUUCUUGAUGAUUUUUUUUUUUUCCUACAGAAAAUAUAGGGGCCUGGAUGCAAAAGCCUGGAAGCCCAGUGAAGUGGGAGGGAAAUGCGUGCGGGGUUGGGGGGGGGGGGGGGGGCGGGCGCGACGCCUUCCUCCUGCC